AGUGAAUUGCCUGAUAAAAAGGGUUAUCUUGAUAGGGUAAAUCAUGUGGAAUCCCACAUUCAUUA
Molecule: transfer RNA, 65 nt
Filed under: Paraliodrosophila antennata
Lineage: Eukaryota; Metazoa; Arthropoda; Insecta; Diptera; Drosophilidae
Description: tRNA-Ile
Source: RNAcentral